GGAGAGGUGCCUGAGUGGUUGAAAGGGGCACCCUGCUAAGGUGUUGUGCUUUAACGAGUACCGAGGGUUCGAAUCCCUCCCUCUCCGCCA
Molecule: transfer RNA, 90 nt
Filed under: Patescibacteria group bacterium
Lineage: Bacteria
Description: tRNA-Ser
Rfam family: tRNA
About the family: Transfer RNA (tRNA) molecules are approximately 80 nucleotides in length. Their secondary structure includes four short double-helical elements and three loops (D, anti-codon, and T loops).
Source: RNAcentral